GUCCAUGCCGUAAACGUUGUGUGCUUGGUCUGAGUGGAUUCAACCCCAUUUGGAUCGGAGUUAACAUGUUAAGCACACCGCCUGGGGACUACGGUCGCAAGACUAAAACUCAAAGGAAUUGACGGGGGCCCGCACAAGCGGUGGAGUAUGUGGCUUAAUUCGAGGCAACGCGAAGAACCUUACCUGGGUUUGACAUAUACAUGACGUACUGAGAAAUCAGUAUUCCCGCGAGGGCAUGUAAACAGGUGCUGCAUGGCUGUCGU
RNAcentral lists this ribosomal RNA (263 nucleotides) under uncultured bacterium. RNAcentral describes it as "partial 16S ribosomal RNA". It matches the Rfam family "Bacterial small subunit ribosomal RNA", at positions 793 to 1055 of the family's 1533-position model. The record is from RNAcentral.